RNAcentral lists this small RNA (38 nucleotides) under Vibrio cholerae O1 biovar El Tor str. N16961. Lineage: Bacteria; Pseudomonadati; Pseudomonadota; Gammaproteobacteria; Vibrionales; Vibrionaceae. The record is from RNAcentral.
UAAAAAAGCCGCUCCGGAUGGAGCGGCUGGCAGAAGUA